AAAAGACUUAGUCCUAACCUUACCGUUAAUUCUUGCUAGACAUAUACAUGCAAGUAUCCGCACCCCAGUGUAAAUACCCUUAACAUCUCACCAACAGAUAACAGGAGUAGGUAUCAGGCACGCAUCAACAAUUCACCGCAGCCCAAAACACCUUGCCCUGCCACACCCCCACGGGACUUCAGCAGUAAUUAACAUUAAGCAAUGAGUGAAAACUCGACUUAGUCAUAGCAACUAUCUUAGGGUUGGUAAACCUUGUGCCAGCCACCGCGGUCAUACAAGGAACCCAAAUUAACUCUAUACGGCGUAAAGAGUGGUCUUUCAUUAUCACCCUAACUAAGAUUGAAGUGUUACUAAGCCGUUAUAAGCAUUAGACACAUUUAACAUUCUCCCCAAAAGAGAUCUUAGCCCUACGACCAAUCAAACUCCACGAAAGCCAGGACACAAACUGGGAUUAGAUACCCCACUAUGCCUUGCCAUAAAUCUCGAUGUUUACUUACCCAAGCAUCCGCCUGAGAACUACGAGCACAAACGCUUAAAACUCUAAGGACUUGGCGGUGCUCCAAACCCUCCUAGAGGAGCCUGUUCUAUAAUCGAUAACCCACGUUACACCCAACCACCUUUUGCCAAAACAGCCUAUAUACCGCCGUCCCCAGCUCACCCAAAACUGAAGGUCUAGAAGUGAGCACAAUAGCCCCCUACGCUAGCAAGACAGGUCGAGGUAUAGCCUAUAAGGUGGAAGAAAUGGGCUACAUUUUCUACUAUAGAAAACUACACGACAAGGAGUGUGAAACCCCUCCCAAAAGGCGGAUUUAGUAGUAAAGCAGGACUAUAAUGCCUUCUUAAAAUCGGCCCUGGAGCACGUACAUACCGCCCGUCACCCUCCUCACAAGCUGCCAACUCUCCACAUUACCUAAUUAAUCACCAAGCUAAAGAUGAGGUAAGUCGUAACAAGGUAAGUGUACCGGAAGGUGCACUUAGUCUACC
This 984-nucleotide non-coding RNA is filed under the name Campylorhamphus procurvoides. RNAcentral's name for it is "12S ribosomal RNA". It matches the Rfam family "Bacterial small subunit ribosomal RNA". Lineage: Eukaryota; Metazoa; Chordata; Aves; Passeriformes; Dendrocolaptidae. The record is from RNAcentral.